GCCCUUUUCCGGUUGAUCCUGCCGGAGGCCACUGCUAUUGGGGUUCGAUUAAGCCAUGCGAGUCGAGAGGUGUAAGACCUCGGCAUACUGCUCAGUAACACGUGGAUAAUCUACCCUAUGGUGGGGGAUAACCCCGGGAAACUGGGGAUAAUACCCCAUAGACUAUGGAUGCUGGAAUGCUCUGUAGCCGAAAGGUCCGCCGCCAUAGGAUGAGUCUGCGGCCGAUUAGGUUGUUGUUGGGGUAACGGCCCAACGAGCCUGUAAUCGGUACGGGUUGUGCGAGCAAGAGCCCGGAUAUGGAUUCUGCGACACGAAUCCAGGCCCUACGGGGUGCAGCAGGCGCGAAAACUUUGCAAUGCGAGAAAUCGUGACAAGGGAACUCCGAGUGCCCGUAAAUUCGGGCUGUCCAUCUGUUUAAAAAACAGGUGAAGAAAGGGCCGGGCAAGACCGGUGCCAGCCGCCGCGGUAAUACCAGCAGCCCAAGUGGUGGUCGCGUUUAUUGGGUUAAAGCGCUCGUAGCCGGGCUUGCAAGUCCCUUGUGAAAUCGGACGGCUGAACCGAUCGGCGUGCAAGGGAUACUGCUAGCCUUGGGAUCGGGAGAGGUCGGGGGUACUUCAGGGGUAGCGGUGAAAUGCUGUAAUCCCUGGAGGACCACCAGUGGCGAAGGCGCCCGACCAUAACGGAUCCGACGGUGAGGGGCGAAGGCUAGGGGAGCGAACGGGAUUAGAUACCCGGGUAGUCCCAGCUGUAAACGAUGCGCGUUAGGUGUAUCGGUGACCACGAGUCACCGAGGUGCCGAAGAGAAAUCGUGAAACGUGUCGCCUGGGAAGUACGGCCGCAAGGCUGAAACUUAAAGGAAUUGGCGGG
This 867-nucleotide ribosomal RNA is filed under the name uncultured methanogenic archaeon. RNAcentral's name for it is "bacterial SSU rRNA". It matches the Rfam family "Archaeal small subunit ribosomal RNA", at positions 1 to 872 of the family's 1478-position model. The record is from RNAcentral. Lineage: Archaea; Methanobacteriati; Methanobacteriota.